RNAcentral lists this long non-coding RNA (907 nucleotides) under Marmota monax (woodchuck). Lineage: Eukaryota; Metazoa; Chordata; Mammalia; Rodentia; Sciuridae. The record is from RNAcentral.
AUCACCUGUUCACCUUACUAGAUGCAGAAAGAGACUGAUAAAAUUCAACACCCCUUCAUGAUAAAUGCCCUAAAAAAACUAGGUAAGAAGGAUGGUACCUCCAAGUAAUAGAGGGUGAACCAGUGAACCAAUUCAGCACAGCAUCAGGGCCCUACAUACACAAAGAGCAGUAGUGUUUUGUUUUAGUCAGCUUUGUUGCUGCUGUUAUAAAAGACCCACCAGCACAACUGCAAAAGAGGAAAAGUUUAUUUGAGGGCUCAUGGUUUCAGAGAUCUUAGUCCAUAGAAGGCUGGCUCUACUCCUCAGGACGCGAGGUGAGGCAGAACCUCACCUCGUGAUUAAUUAUUGCAUAGAAUUAAAAACCUUCUGCACAUGGUGGAGGAGUGCGGCAGAGGGGAGCAGCUCAUAAUGGUGAUCAGCAAGCAGACAGUGAGACAGUCCAGCCUCCAGAUACACAAUAAAUAAGCCAUAGCCACGCCCCAAUGCCCCCCCUCCUGCAGCCACACCCACCACUUCAGAGUCCACUCAGCUAAUCCCCUCAGGGGAUUAAUUCACUGACUGGGUUAGGACUCACGACCCAUCAUUUCUCCUCUGAACUUUCUUGCAUUGUCUCACAUGUGAGCUCUUGGGAGACACCUCACUUCCAAACCAUAACAUCUUUCUAUACCAAUAAUGAACUCACUGAGAAACCAGGAAAGCAACCUAAUUCACAGCAGCCUCCAAAAACAUGACCAAGGAACAAAUCUAACAAGGAGGUGAAAGUCCCUACAAUGAAAAUCAUAGAAUGCUAGAAAGACAACAGGAGAUGGAAAGAUCUCCCAUGUUUGUAGGUUGGCAGAAUUAAUCUGUCUAAAUGGGUCAGGUGCCGUGGGGCACAACUGUGAUCCCAAUGACUUGGGAGGCUGAG